Pseudophryne corroboree (corroboree frog) is the source of this 430-nucleotide long non-coding RNA. RefSeq lists it as uncharacterized. The transcript has 2 exons. The record is from RefSeq and is a predicted model, not a curated record. NCBI's taxonomy places the organism in Eukaryota, Metazoa, Chordata, Amphibia, Anura, Myobatrachidae.
AGAGGCCUGGCACGGCAUAGCACACUGGUAAAGGGGGAAGGAAAUAGGCUGCAGAUGCCAAUGUGAUGUGUUCCCCACAGGAAUGACAAGCUAACAGGCUGAUUGCUAUCAACAAUUACAUGCAUUAUCUGAAAACAAUGUUCAGCAUUUCGCUUCUGACAAUUCAGCCAAGAUGCUGCCAGAGAAUAAAAAAAAAAAAAUACAUUAAAUUUUCAGCCAAUGACAAGUUCCAUCCACUCUCGCAGCCCAGAAGAAAAUAAUAGAAACCUUUGUACAGAAGUGAAGUGAACAGAAGACUGGGAGAGUGAGAAGGGUACAGUGGCAGAAGUGCUAUACAGGCAAUCAAUUAACAGGGAGUCAAGCUGUCUCCUGCUACGGGAUAGCAAUGUAAAUAUCUACAGCAUGAAUAAACCUGCAUCUGUGUAUUGUA